This 898-nucleotide ribosomal RNA is filed under the name Vibrio sp. PP-124. RNAcentral's name for it is "bacterial SSU rRNA". It matches the Rfam family "Bacterial small subunit ribosomal RNA", at positions 39 to 916 of the family's 1533-position model. Lineage: Bacteria; Pseudomonadati; Pseudomonadota; Gammaproteobacteria; Vibrionales; Vibrionaceae. The record is from RNAcentral.
GCGGCAGGCCUAACACAUGCAAGUCGAGCGGAAACGACUUAACUGAACCUUCGGGGAACGUUAAGGGCGUCGAGCGGCGGACGGGUGAGUAAUGCCUAGGAAAUUGCCCUGAUGUGGGGGAUAACCAUUGGAAACGAUGGCUAAUACCGCAUGAUGCCUACGGGCCAAAGAGGGGGACCUUCGGGCCUCUCGCGUCAGGAUAUGCCUAGGUGGGAUUAGCUAGUUGGUGAGGUAAUGGCUCACCAAGGCGACGAUCCCUAGCUGGUCUGAGAGGAUGAUCAGCCACACUGGAACUGAGACACGGUCCAGACUCCUACGGGAGGCAGCAGUGGGGAAUAUUGCACAAUGGGCGCAAGCCUGAUGCAGCCAUGCCGCGUGUGUGAAGAAGGCCUUCGGGUUGUAAAGCACUUUCAGUCGUGAGGAAGGUGGUGUAGUUAAUAGCUGCAUUAUUUGACGUUAGCGACAGAAGAAGCACCGGCUAACUCCGUGCCAGCAGCCGCGGUAAUACGGAGGGUGCGAGCGUUAAUCGGAAUUACUGGGCGUAAAGCGCAUGCAGGUGGUUUGUUAAGUCAGAUGUGAAAGCCCGGGGCUCAACCUCGGAAUAGCAUUUGAAACUGGCAGACUAGAGUACUGUAGAGGGGGGUAGAAUUUCAGGUGUAGCGGUGAAAUGCGUAGAGAUCUGAAGGAAUACCGGUGGCGAAGGCGGCCCCCUGGACAGAUACUGACACUCAGAUGCGAAAGCGUGGGGAGCAAACAGGAUUAGAUACCCUGGUAGUCCACGCCGUAAACGAUGUCUACUUGGAGGUUGUGGCCUUGAGCCGUGGCUUUCGGAGCUAACGCGUUAAGUAGACCGCCUGGGGAGUACGGUCGCAAGAUUAAAACUCAAAUGAUUUGACGG